This 1065-nucleotide small RNA is filed under the name Pongo abelii (Sumatran orangutan). RNAcentral describes it as "retained intron". Lineage: Eukaryota; Metazoa; Chordata; Mammalia; Primates; Hominidae. The record is from RNAcentral.
GAGGUGAGUCCCGGCCCUCUUGGGAAUGGACGGGACCCAGGAGUGGGUCGGCCCUCACUGGGUUUUAUAUGUUUCAGAAAAGCAGCAUCUGCUACCUGUCCUUUCCCGACUCGCACUCAGGCUGCCUUGGAGACACUCAGUUCAGCUUCCGCAUGCGCCAGUGUGGAGGGCAGAGGAGCCCCUGGCAUGCCGACGACAGGCACUACAACAGCAGGGCCCCUGUGGCACUGCAGAGGGAGCCGGCACACUACUUCGGCUACGUGUACUUCAGGCAGGUGAAGGACAGCUCUGUGAAGAGGGGCUACUUCCAGAAGGCCGUUCCCGGGGCAGCUGUCCUGUGAAGUUGGUGGGACGUGCUACCCUGGGCCAGCUCCAGUCUUUGGUGCUGGUGUCCCGCUUGCCCUUUGUCCGGCUGUUCCAAGCGCUGCUAAGCCUCAUCGCCCCCGAGUACUUUGACAAGCUGGCGCCCUGCCUGGAAGCAGUGUGCAGUGAGAUCGACCAGUGGCCGGCGCCUGCGCCUGGGCAGACCCUGAACCUACCUGUCAUGGGCGUUGUUGUCCAGGUGCGCAUCCCAUCGAGGGUGGACAAGUCCGAGUCCAGUCCUCCGAAGCAGUGUGACCAAGAGAAUCUGCUGCCAGCCCCAGUGGCUCUUGCUAGCGUCCACGAGCUGGACCUGUUCAGGUGCUUCCGGCCUGUGCUGACUCAUAUGCAGACACUGUGGGAGCUCAUGCUCCUCGGGGAGCCCCUGCUGGUCCUGGCACCCUCGCCCGACGUGUCCUCGGAGAUGGUGCUGGCCUUGACCAGCUGCCUGCAGCCCCUGAGGUUCUGCUGCGACUUCCGUCCCUACUUCACCAUCCAUGACAGUGAGUUCAAGGAGUUCACCACACGCACGCAGGCCCCACCAAACGUGGUCCUGGGAGUCACAAACCCUUUCUUUAUCAAAACACUCCAGCAUUGGCCCCACAUCCUCCGAGUCGGGGAGCCCAAGAUGUCAGGAGACCUGCCUAAGCAAGUCAAGCUGAAAAAGCCUUCAAGGUUGAAGACCCUGGACACCAAGCCAGGUCU